GCUACAGGCUUAACACAUGCAAGUCGAGGGGUAGCACAGAAGAAGCUUGCUUCUUUGGGUGACGACCGGCGCACGGGUGAGUAACGCGUAUCCGACCUACCCAUAACACGGGCACAGCCGCUCGAAAGAGUGAUUGAUUCCCGAUAUGUCUUUAGAGUAGAUCUAAUGAUGAAAGAUUUAUCGGUUAUGGAUGGGGAUGCGUAAGAUUAGGUAGUAGGCGGGGUAACGGCCCACCUAGCCGACGAUCUUUAGGGGUUCUGAGAGGAAGGUCCCCCACACUGGUACUGAGACACGGACCAGACUCCUACGGGAGGCAGCAGUGAGGAAUAUUGGUCAAUGGGCGGAAGCCUGAACCAGCCAAGUAGCGUGAAGGAUUACAGCCCUACGGGUUUUAAACUUCUUUUAUAUAAGAGUAAUGUGCACUACGUGUAGUGUAUUGCAAGUAUUAUAUGAAUAAGCAUCGGCUAACUCCGUGCCAGCAGCCGCGGUAAUACGGAGGAUGCAAGCGUUAUCCGGAUUUAUUGGGUUUAAAGGGAGCGUAGGUGGUUUGUUAAGCCAGCUGUGAAAUACUGUAGCUCAACUACAGCCGUGCAGUUGGAACUGGCAGACUUGAGUGCACAAGAGGAAGGUGGAAUUCGUGGUGUAGCGGUGAAAUGCUUAGAUAUCACG
Molecule: ribosomal RNA, 669 nt
Filed under: uncultured Bacteroidota bacterium
Lineage: Bacteria; Pseudomonadati; Bacteroidota
Description: bacterial SSU rRNA
Rfam family: Bacterial small subunit ribosomal RNA
Source: RNAcentral